GCAUAUGUAUAUGUGCAUGAUGUUAUAUAUUUACAAAUAUAUCAUAAAUAUAAUAAAAUGCUUGUAUAUAAAACUUGCUCAUGUUUAUAGAUACACAUUCUUAUAUACGAUUUUAUACGUAUAAAACACAUAUGUACACGUAUAUACAUGAGCAUGUUUAUUAUUAAAUAAGACUAUGAGACGUUUGUGGGUUAUAUUGGUUAAGUUCACCUAAAACGAGCAGAGUUGACAAAUUUCCUUUCUGCACAAAAACUAAUCCUGCAAAUCCACAUGGAGGGAUACAGGGGAAAGUGAUUUGCUGAUUUCCUUUCCAACCUAGUCGAUCCAUUAAGGAUGCAACUGCAACUAACGUGGCUUGGCAAAAUGUAGGCAAUCUCAGGCAGAAAAACCGCUGGGCAGCGUGCCAGGAAUGGAGUUCCAUACGCCUGCGCAGUGGGGCCCCUAACGGUGGGCGGAGCCCAGCCCUCCACAUGGGCUUCCACGGUUGCUGGGAGCUCCGUUGUCUCGGUCUCCCGGCUUCGCCCUCAAGUGUCCCCCGGGCUUCCCAGUCGCAUGGCGGUGUGCUCCAGAAGAUGCCUCUGAAACCCGCCGUCCUUCUUGCCGCCACGCUGCUGCUCUGGCCUAUACCUACCCGGGUACACCCCUAUGCAAAGGAACCUUACACUGAAGGAGAAUCAUCUGCUCCAGCUGUGAUAUCAGCUAUAGGUCCAGAUAUGGAGCUAGCAGUGAAGCUGGAUCUAGAACCAGUUCUGAUGCUAGAUGUGAAAUCUCUGGAGCCAGAGGCAAAACCAAUGAUAUCAGCUAUAAAACAACCGAGACCACUUAAGAAUCCAGCUAUGCCAUCAUUCUUGAAAGCCCUGGACUCAGGCUCAGAACCAAUCAUAAAGAAGCAAGCUACAACACCAUGUGGGAAGGGAAGACCACCUGUAACACAAACUACAAAAUCACAUCAGACACUGGUGGUGAUACCCACUCGAAAGAUACCUGGAGAGUCAACGUCUAUGAAAUCAACUCAGGGGCUAGGUGGGAGAGUGAUACUAAAACCCACUAGAGAAAUACCUGGAGUGUCAACCUCUAUGCAGUCAAUUGUGGGGUCAGGUGGGAGACUGGUGAUAAAACCCACUCGAGAGAUACCUGGAGAGUCAACAUCUACGAAGUCAAUGUCUAUGAAAACAACUCCUGAACCAAGUGGGGAACUGGGGCUAAAAUUCACUUUAGAGAUACCUGGAGAGCAAACGUCUAUUAAGCCAAAGGUGGGGCCAGGUGAGAGAGUGAAGCUAAAACCCACUGGAGAGUUACGUAGAGAGCCAACAUCUAUGAAACCAACUCAGAGGCCAAGUGGGACAGUGACGUUGAAACCCACACCAGAGCUACCUAAGGAGCCAACGUCUAUGAAACCAAUUAAAGAGCUAAACCUGCCUCUGGAAAACCAUGGGAAAUUGAAAGUAUUUGCAGAAAUAGAUAACUCUGUAUUCCAACUUAAACAAGUUGUAAGAGCACAACUUAUGAUGGUAGACACAUUAACAAAGAACAAUUCAAAGUCACAGUCAAACUCUUUGGCAACAGGGAAAUAUGAACCAUUGAAAAACCAAUUAGGGUAUAAAAAUAUGAUUGAAGAUCAAAUUUUGAAAAGUGUUUUAGAGACUAACAAGUUGAUAAAACAUGCUCUUGUGAAUACUAAACAGAACACUGAAUUAAAAAAUAAUGUGGAUUCUACUAAAGAAUCUCUAGUUCCAAACCUUUUUUCAGAAGCAGCAGAUUUAUCACAGAAGAAAUUAAAUAAACCACAGAAAAUAAGAGAAAGUGAUGAUAAUAAAGACAUUGCAUUGUUUAUUAAUUUUUUAUAUGAUAUUAAGGCAGAACUAAGUAUAUAUUUAAAUAUCAAUAAUAUUCCAUUAGAUAUUCGUGAUAAGGCUGCUACUUUAUUCACCAUUAUGGGAGAUAUAUUUUGUAAAAAUGAACAAAGAAGAAGAAUAAUUAAGAUAUUAUUAAAAGAUAAUUUAAGAAUGUUAAACAUACUUAACUCUCUAUUGCAUUAAUGACUAGGUUUUCAGUGACCUAUUCAUUUCUAAGAGAAACAUUUAAAUUUAUUCGCUAAAAUUUUAUAACUGGAUUUUGUAUUGUGUCUAUUAACAUCUAUAAUUUGUCAUGUAAUUUGAAAGAUUUCAAACAAAUAAUUAAAACAUACUAAUUUGAAUACAAUUUGUUUUUAGUAGAGUUUGUGAUGUCAUUUCCAUACCUCCCAAAUUUGUUGCCUUUUGUGUUUAAAAUAUUUCCUUUAUUUUAUGCAUGAGUAGAUUUGCUUAGUUUAAAAUAUACAUUUAUCUAGAUUAACAUUUUAUAAAUUUAUUUUAUAGAAAAGGCAUGUUUUGUGUGGAUUAUAUGUAUACACAUAUAU
Molecule: long non-coding RNA, 2398 nt
Filed under: Monodelphis domestica (gray short-tailed opossum)
Lineage: Eukaryota; Metazoa; Chordata; Mammalia; Didelphimorphia; Didelphidae
Description: lncRNA (ENSMODG00000043507.1)
Source: RNAcentral